Long non-coding RNA from Emys orbicularis (European pond turtle), 401 nucleotides. RefSeq lists it as uncharacterized. The transcript has 2 exons. Lineage: Eukaryota; Metazoa; Chordata; Testudines; Emydidae. The record is from RefSeq and is a predicted model, not a curated record.
GAAUCACCGCUCCGCCUCCAGCGCGCGGGGCUGGGGAAUCGGCUUCUUUCCGGCGCUGGCGAUGGCUGCUCGGAGGUGAGGGGUUUUCUUCAAAGUCCGGGGACCUCGUCUCGCCUGGAGGGUCAGAUUUGACAGCAAUGUCGUGUGUGCCUGUGUGCAAGGGAGGCCUCCUCUUCUAAACUCAGCCCUCACCCUCCUGGCAGCCACGGGAGGGCCUUUCAGAAAAUGAUCACUUAUUUGGAUCCUGGAUACAAAUUAAUGGAAAGAGGCCAAGAGGAAAAAUAAUAAUCUAUAUAGCGCUUUGAUUAAAGUGAGUGCACAUUCUUUGAUCUGAGAGGAUUAUUGUAUUGGUUCUGGAUUUAGAAAUGUAUAGAAUAAAAUCAUAUGUGUAAUUUCUCAAA